RNAcentral lists this ribosomal RNA (271 nucleotides) under uncultured bacterium. RNAcentral's name for it is "partial 16S ribosomal RNA". It matches the Rfam family "Bacterial small subunit ribosomal RNA", at positions 505 to 776 of the family's 1533-position model. The record is from RNAcentral.
GUGCCAGCAGCGCGGUAAGACGUAGGGGGCGAGCGUUGUCCGGAAUUACUGGGCGUAAAGAGCACGUAGGCGGGAACCUAAGUCAGGUGUGAAAGACCGUGGCUCAACCACGGGGUGGCAUUUGAAACUGGGUUUCUUGAGGGCAGGAGAGGAAAGCAGAAUUCCUGGUGUAGCGGUGAAAUGCGUAGAAAUCAGGAGGAAUACCAGUGGCGAAGGCGGCUUUCUGGACUGACCCUGACGCUGAGGUGCGAAAGCGUGGGUAGCAAACAGG